UCCUGCGUCAACCUGCUGCACUACCCCUUUAAUUACCUCUUCAUGGCUCCCCCAGUCCUGAUGCCGCAUGAAUCAGUGUAUCAACACUCGGCUGACUUUGUUUCAUCAAAGCUCACCGUCGCCAACACUUUUGCGAAGAUGAACAUAAACUAAGUGCUGAAGACAGCUGAUGGAGAUGCUUCAGAAGAAGAUCUACAGAGGAGUCUUCCACUGUGUUUAUAUGAGUCAUGGACACUGAUGAAGGUGACUGUUUGCAUCUGAGCUUGUAUAAAGGGUUUGAUGACGUGCCUCCUUUACAAAACCUAAUGUAUUGCUCCACCUAGUGGAUAUGAAGUGCUAUGCCAUGUAACGGGAUUCUUUGGAUUCAAAGCAAAACUCAGGUUUACUGACACUUUUAUUUUGUGACUUUAUUUAUUUGUUGUUUGUGCAACCUCUACUGAACCUUUUCAAUAACUCAUUAAUAUUAUUUGAUCUCAUUGUUUCAUACAACAACUUUUACUUUAGUGGCGUUUGAGACUAACACAUGGGGACUAUUCAUUUUGUUAUAACGUAGUUCAGAUGAAAUUGGUCACAAAGAAGUCUGUGGAUUAUUCAGAGUAACCUCUUCAGUUUCUGGUGAGACACAUCUCUUUAUAUUAAUAGGCAGACAUUUCUGGGACACAUAAUACAAAACCAGAACUAGACGUACUACAAGUCACAACAAGCAGGUUAGGUAAUAUGAUUUUGUUGGGGUCUUUUUUUAGGUGAACUGAUCCCAAGUGUUCCUUUUGUACUACAUCUGUUGUCCACUGGAUGGCAGUGAAUCACCAACAGACUCAGGUCCAUCUGUGUGUGUGUGUGAACAGGCUGAAUACUGCUAACAGGUUUAAACUGUUUUCUAACAAAACAAUGAUCCAUCUUUUUUUCCCCCAAUAACGCUAAU
This is a long non-coding RNA of Cottoperca gobio, 922 nucleotides long. RefSeq lists it as uncharacterized. The transcript has 3 exons. The record is from RefSeq and is a predicted model, not a curated record. NCBI's taxonomy places the organism in Eukaryota, Metazoa, Chordata, Actinopteri, Perciformes, Bovichtidae.